UACGGGGGGGGCAAGCGUUGUUCGGAAUUACUGGGCGUAAAGCGCGCGCAGGUGGUUUCUUAAGUCUGAUGUGAAAGCCCACGGCUCAACCGUGGAGGGUCAUUGGAAACUGGGAGACUUGAGUGCAGAAGAGGAAAGUGGAAUUCCAUGUGUAGCGGUGAAAUGCGUAGAGAUAUGGAGGAACACCAGUGGCGAAGGCGACUUUCUGGUCUGUAACUGACACUGAGGCGCGAAAGCGUGGGGAGCAAACAGG
RNAcentral lists this ribosomal RNA (253 nucleotides) under uncultured bacterium. RNAcentral describes it as "partial 16S ribosomal RNA". It matches the Rfam family "Bacterial small subunit ribosomal RNA", at positions 524 to 776 of the family's 1533-position model. The record is from RNAcentral.